AAUCAACGCUGGCGGCGCGCCUAACACAUGCAAGUCGAACGAGAAAGCAGGAGCAAUCCUGUGAGUAAAGUGGCGUACGGGUGAGUAACACGUGGAUCAUCUACCCUUUUGUGGGGGAUAACCCCGGGAACCGGGGCGUAAUACCGCAUAAGUCCGAGAGGAGAAAGCAGCUUUGUGAAAGCAAGGCGGCGCAGAAGGAGGAGUCCGCGGCCGAUUAGCUAGUUGGUAGGGUAAAAGCCUACCAAGGCUACGAUCGGUAGCCGGCCUGAGAGGGCACACGGCCACACUGGCACUGAAACACGGGCCAGACUCCUACGGGAGGCAGCAGUGGGGAAUCUUGCACAAUGGGGGCAACCCUGAUGCAGCGACGCCGCGUGAGCGAUGAAGCCCUUGGGUGUAAAGCUCUUCGGCAGGGAAGAUCGUGACGGUACCUGCAGAAGCAGCUGCGGCUAACUACGUGCCAGCCGCCGCCGUAAC
Molecule: ribosomal RNA, 477 nt
Filed under: uncultured bacterium
Lineage: Bacteria
Description: bacterial SSU rRNA
Rfam family: Bacterial small subunit ribosomal RNA
Source: RNAcentral